Molecule: ribosomal RNA, 1551 nt
Filed under: Escherichia coli
Lineage: Bacteria; Pseudomonadati; Pseudomonadota; Gammaproteobacteria; Enterobacterales; Enterobacteriaceae
Description: partial 23S ribosomal RNA
Rfam family: Bacterial large subunit ribosomal RNA
Source: RNAcentral
CGAAUGCUGACAUAAGUAACGAUAAAGCGGGUGAAAAGCCCGCUCGCCGGAAGACCAAGGGUUCCUGUCCAACGUUAAUCGGGGCAGGGUGAGUCGACCCCUAAGGCGAGGCCGAAAGGCGUAGUCGAUGGGAAACAGGUUAAUAUUCCUGUACUUGGUGUUACUGCGAAGGGGGGACGGAGAAGGCUAUGUUGGCCGGGCGACGGUUGUCCCGGUUUAAGCGUGUAGGCUGGUUUUCCAGGCAAAUCCGGAAAAUCAAGGCUGAGGCGUGAUGACGAGGCACUACGGUGCUGAAGCAACAAAUGCCCUGCUUCCAGGAAAAGCCUCUAAGCAUCAGGUAACAUCAAAUCGUACCCCAAACCGACACAGGUGGUCAGGUAGAGAAUACCAAGGCGCUUGAGAGAACUCGGGUGAAGGAACUAGGCAAAAUGGUGCCGUAACUUCGGGAGAAGGCACGCUGAUAUGUAGGUGAAGCGACUUGCUCGUGGAGCUGAAAUCAGUCGAAGAUACCAGCUGGCUGCAACUGUUUAUUAAAAACACAGCACUGUGCAAACACGAAAGUGGACGUAUACGGUGUGACGCCUGCCCGGUGCCGGAAGGUUAAUUGAUGGGGUUAGCGCAAGCGAAGCUCUUGAUCGAAGCCCCGGUAAACGGCGGCCGUAACUAUAACGGUCCUAAGGUAGCGAAAUUCCUUGUCGGGUAAGUUCCGACCUGCACGAAUGGCGUAAUGAUGGCCAGGCUGUCUCCACCCGAGACUCAGUGAAAUUGAACUCGCUGUGAAGAUGCAGUGUACCCGCGGCAAGACGGAAAGACCCCGUGAACCUUUACUAUAGCUUGACACUGAACAUUGAGCCUUGAUGUGUAGGAUAGGUGGGAGGCUUUGAAGUGUGGACGCCAGUCUGCAUGGAGCCGACCUUGAAAUACCACCCUUUAAUGUUUGAUGUUCUAACGUUGACCCGUAAUCCGGGUUGCGGACAGUGUCUGGUGGGUAGUUUGACUGGGGCGGUCUCCUCCUAAAGAGUAACGGAGGAGCACGAAGGUUGGCUAAUCCUGGUCGGACAUCAGGAGGUUAGUGCAAUGGCAUAAGCCAGCUUGACUGCGAGCGUGACGGCGCGAGCAGGUGCGAAAGCAGGUCAUAGUGAUCCGGUGGUUCUGAAUGGAAGGGCCAUCGCUCAACGGAUAAAAGGUACUCCGGGGAUAACAGGCUGAUACCGCCCAAGAGUUCAUAUCGACGGCGGUGUUUGGCACCUCGAUGUCGGCUCAUCACAUCCUGGGGCUGAAGUAGGUCCCAAGGGUAUGGCUGUUCGCCAUUUAAAGUGGUACGCGAGCUGGGUUUAGAACGUCGUGAGACAGUUCGGUCCCUAUCUGCCGUGGGCGCUGGAGAACUGAGGGGGGCUGCUCCUAGUACGAGAGGACCGGAGUGGACGCAUCACUGGUGUUCGGGUUGUCAUGCCAAUGGCACUGCCCGGUAGCUAAAUGCGGAAGAGAUAAGUGCUGAAAGCAUCUAAGCACGAAACUUGCCCCGAGAUGAGUUCUCCCUGACCCUUUAAG